Long non-coding RNA from Oncorhynchus kisutch (coho salmon), 768 nucleotides. RefSeq lists it as uncharacterized. NCBI's taxonomy places the organism in Eukaryota, Metazoa, Chordata, Actinopteri, Salmoniformes, Salmonidae. The transcript has 2 exons. The record is from RefSeq and is a predicted model, not a curated record.
CAUGACAGAACGCAACUGCUGCGCCUCGAACUCCAGCUGCUGCCGAAUGAGGUCCAUCUGUAUGGAGAACUAUGACAAUAAGGAAGAGGAGAGGUCUUCCAGAUGCUGGGCCGUGAUACGUCCGUCUCCCAGCAUGGCUUUGGCCAGGGCUCCAUCCAUGAGGUGGGUGUGUCCAGGAUGCAUGGCCGUGCCCUCCCCUGACAGAGAGGAGCUCUGGCGGGAUGAAGGCCGUAGGGGGCUCCUGGCUCUGGAGGAGGAGGGAGGCAAGCAGGCCAGACGAUCGUCCAUGUCACUCGACUGAGCUGCCAGACUGGCUAGACUGUCUGGCAGGACGCGCAGAUUGUGCGGCUGGUACUUCAGCUCAUAGUAGUUGGUCAGGUCCAUGUGCAACUCUGAGAGAGAAAGAGAGAGAGAUUUUUUAUUUUUAUGAACCAUUGAAAUGUCCUAUUAUUGAAUGAGCUGUGUACAAUAUCAGUUUAAUGCAAGACAGACAUUAAAAUGGGAGAAAAUAGAUGGAAAACUACAUCAGAUGUACCUUUGAGCUGAUCCAGCACAUCAGUCCUCCCUGAGGAGGCCAAAGUGCCAGCCUCCAGCUCCAGUUUAUUCUGCAGGCCCUUCAAUACCCCCUAGAGUGAAGAAAGCAAAUCAUAAUUACUGUGUCAACUUCAAAUUGCUGUUGUGGCCACAGUAAAACACCCAAAAAAGAGUCACAACCUGCUGGGUCUCUGAUGACCUAGAGGUGAAAUAAACCAAGCAAUGAAAACACUG